RNAcentral lists this ribosomal RNA (776 nucleotides) under uncultured Neocallimastigales. RNAcentral describes it as "partial large subunit ribosomal RNA". It matches the Rfam family "Eukaryotic large subunit ribosomal RNA", at positions 22 to 621 of the family's 3401-position model. Lineage: Eukaryota; Fungi; Neocallimastigomycota; Neocallimastigomycetes; Neocallimastigales. The record is from RNAcentral.
AUAUCAGUCAUGCAUAGCAUAUCAAUAAGCGGAGGAAAAGAAACUAACAAGGAUUCCCUUAGUAACGGCGAGUGAAGCGGGAAGAGCUCAAAUUUGAAAUCUUCAAGGUUUUACCUUGACGAAUUGUAGUUUAAAGAAGUGUUUUCUGUUGAAGUUUUGGUAAAAGUUCUUUGGAAUAGGACAUCAUAGAGGGUGAGAAUCCCGUAUUUGACCAUUACUUUCAGCUUUGUGAUACACUUUCAAAGAGUCGGAUUGUUUGGGAAUGCAGUCCAAAAUGGGUGGUAAAUUUCAUCUAAAGCUAAAUAUUGGCGAGAGACCGAUAGCGAACAAGUACCGUGAGGGAAAGAUGAAAAGAACUUUGAAAAGAGAGUUAAACAGUACGUGAAAUUGUCAAAAGGGAAGCGUUUGACACCAGUGUUGUUUUCUCGAAAAUCAAUUAAAAAGAGUUGGAUUUUGUGUUGUAUUGACUUUAUCAGCUUUCUUCACUCUUUUCCAGCUUUUUUUAAUGCACUUUUCGUUUAACAAGUCAACAUCAGUUUCUUUUGUUGUAAAAAGGUCAUUGGAAGGUGGCUUUCUCUUCGGAGAAAGUGUUUAUAGCCUUUGACUCAUGCAAUCGGAGAGGACUGAGGUCUGCAGCGUAGAUCCUUCGGGGUUAGAUACAUUUGUGCUAAGUUAUAGCUUUUCAUAGACAACUUGUUGGACUAUGUUUAGUCUUGUAACUUACUCGCUUAUGCUAUUUUACCUACGCUUAGGAUGUUGAACUCUAUCACACACAG